UUUCCGUAGGUGAACCUGCGGAAGGAUCAUUACAGAGUUCAUGCCCUCACGGGUAGAUCUCCCACCCUUGAAUAUUUAUACCUUAAUUGCUUUGGCAGGCCGUGGAAACACCAUGGGCUCCGGCUUAUGCGUGCCUGCCAGAGGAAACAAACUCUGUUUUUAGUGAUGUCUGAGUACUAUAUAAUAGUUAAAACUUUCAACAACGGAUCUCUUGGUUCUG
RNAcentral lists this unclassified non-coding RNA (220 nucleotides) under plant metagenome. Its description in RNAcentral is "partial contains small subunit ribosomal RNA, internal transcribed spacer 1, and 5.8S ribosomal RNA". The record is from RNAcentral.